This 24-nucleotide non-coding RNA is filed under the name Arabidopsis thaliana (thale cress). The record is from RNAcentral. Lineage: Eukaryota; Viridiplantae; Streptophyta; Magnoliopsida; Brassicales; Brassicaceae.
AUGAUGAUACCAGUCACACCGCCU